RNAcentral lists this ribosomal RNA (253 nucleotides) under uncultured bacterium. Its description in RNAcentral is "partial 16S ribosomal RNA". It matches the Rfam family "Bacterial small subunit ribosomal RNA", at positions 524 to 776 of the family's 1533-position model. The record is from RNAcentral.
UACGUAGGGUGCGAGCGUUAAUCGGAAUUACUGGGCGUAAAGCGUGCGCAGGCGGUUCUCCAAGUCCGUUGUGAAAGCCCCGGGCUCAACCUGGGAAUGGCAGUGGAAACUAGGGGACUGGAAUCUGGCAGAGGGGGGUGGAAUGCCGCGUGUAGCAGUGAAAUGCGUAGAGAUCGGGAGGAACACCCGUGGCGAAGGCGGCCGACUGGGCCGACUCUGACGCUGAGGCGCGAAGGCGUGGGGAGCGAACGGG